RNAcentral lists this unclassified non-coding RNA (326 nucleotides) under uncultured fungus. RNAcentral describes it as "partial contains small subunit ribosomal RNA, internal transcribed spacer 1, and 5.8S ribosomal RNA". The stretch from base 1 to 73 matches the Rfam family "Eukaryotic small subunit ribosomal RNA", at positions 1759 to 1831 of the family's 1831-position model. Lineage: Eukaryota; Fungi. The record is from RNAcentral.
UCAAACUUGGUCAUUUAGAGGAAGUAAAAGUCGUAACAAGGUUUCCGUAGGUGAACCUGCGGAAGGAUCAUUACCGAACCGUCGACAGGAGUUGUCGCUGGUCCCCCGAUGGGGGCAUGUGCACAUCCUGUUUACAUAUCCACUAACACCUGUGCACCCCACUGUAGUUCUGUGGCCUGGGGGACUCCGUCCCUCCCACCAUGGUUCUACGUUUUUACACACACACACUGUGAUCGAGUCUCAUGGAAUGUAUGUCGCGUUUAACGCAAUCAAAUACAACUUUCAGCAACGGAUCUCUUGGCUCUCGCAUCGAUGAAGAACGCAGC